GGGAGUCUACAUCAGUCUGCCAGGAGAGCAGCUCAAUGGGAAGGAGGUUUAUCCAGACCAAGUUAAAGGCAGAGAGCUUCCAGAAGAGAAUGAUGGAGAAUCCAUCAGGAUACAAGAUCAUGGAGAUGCUUCUAUUUCUUUAAAGACUGAAGACACUGAGGAGGAUGAAGAACACAGUAAUGUAGAACACCCUCUCUCUGAGCUGAAACACUUGUCAGACUCUGGAUAUAGGAAAAGUUCUACAGAGAAGAAAAAUGUGGAGUCAUGUAGGAAAGACUGCAGAGCAGUGAAGCUUAGCUGCAAAGACUGUGGCAAAACAUUUGUUGGAAAAUACACUUUAAAGACACACAUGAGAACUCAUACAGGACAGAAGCCUUUCUGUUGUGUUCUAUGUGAAAAAAGAUUUAG
This is a long non-coding RNA of Fundulus heteroclitus (mummichog), 408 nucleotides long. RefSeq lists it as uncharacterized. The record is from RefSeq and is a predicted model, not a curated record. Lineage: Eukaryota; Metazoa; Chordata; Actinopteri; Cyprinodontiformes; Fundulidae. The transcript has 2 exons.